GAGCAGCAGUGGGGAAUAUUGCACAAUGGGCGCAAGCCUGAUGCAGCCAUGCCGCGUGUAUGAAGAAGGCCUUCGGGUUGUAAAGUACUUUCAGCAGUGAGGAAGGUGGUGUGCUUAAUACGUGCAUCAUUUGACGUUAGCUGCAGAAGAAGCACCGGCUAACUCCGUGCCAGCAGCCGCGGUAAUACGGAGGGUGCGAGCGUUAAUCGGAAUUACUGGGCGUAAAGCGCAUGCAGGUGGUUUGUUAAGUCAGAUGUGAAAGCCCGGGGCUCAACCUCGGAAUUGCAUUUGAAACUGGCAGACUAGAGUACUGUAGAGGGGGGUAGAAUUUCAGGUGUAGCGGUGAAAUGCGUAGAGAUCUGAAGGAAUACCGGUGGCGAAGGCGGCCCCCUGGACAGAUACUGACACUCAGAUGCGAAAGCGUGGGGAGCAAACAGGAUUAGAUACCCUGGUAGUCCACGCCGUAAACGAUGUCUACUUGGAGGUUGUGGCCUUGAGCCGUGGCUUUCGGAGCUAACGCGUUAAGUAGACCGCCUGGGGGAGUACGGUCGCAAGAUUAAAACUCAAAUGAAUUGACGGGGGCCCGCACAAGCGGUGGAGCAUGUGGUUUAAUUCGAUGCAACGCGAAGAACCUUACCUACUCUUGACAUCCAUAGAACUUUCCAGAGAUGGAUUGGUGCCUUCGGGAACUAUGAGA
Molecule: ribosomal RNA, 697 nt
Filed under: Vibrio sp.
Lineage: Bacteria; Pseudomonadati; Pseudomonadota; Gammaproteobacteria; Vibrionales; Vibrionaceae
Description: bacterial SSU rRNA
Rfam family: Bacterial small subunit ribosomal RNA
Source: RNAcentral